This 253-nucleotide ribosomal RNA is filed under the name uncultured bacterium. RNAcentral's name for it is "partial 16S ribosomal RNA". It matches the Rfam family "Bacterial small subunit ribosomal RNA", at positions 524 to 776 of the family's 1533-position model. The record is from RNAcentral.
UACAGAGGGUGCAAGCGUUAAUCGGAAUUACUGGGCGUAAAGCGUGCGUAGUCGGUUAUCUAAGUCAGGUGUGAAAUCCCCGGGCUCAACCUGGGAAUUGCAUUUGAUACUGGAUAGCUAGAGUUCGGCAGAGGGAAGUGGAAUUUCUGGUGUAGCGGUGAAAUGCGUAGAUAUCAGAAGGAACAUCAGUGGCGAAAGCGACUUCCUGGACCAGAACUGACGAUCGGGCACGAAAGCGUGGGGAGCAAACAGG